RNAcentral lists this ribosomal RNA (429 nucleotides) under uncultured Chloroflexota bacterium. RNAcentral's name for it is "bacterial SSU rRNA". It matches the Rfam family "Bacterial small subunit ribosomal RNA", at positions 930 to 1497 of the family's 1533-position model. Lineage: Bacteria; Bacillati; Chloroflexota. The record is from RNAcentral.
CAGCGGAGCGUGUGGGUUAAUUCGAUGCAACGCGCAGAACCUUACCCAGACUUGACAUGGCCCUGAAAGCCCCGGAAACGGUCCCAGGGACAGAUGUGACGAGCGCAACCCUCGUGCUGUGUUGGGGAUGUCAAGUCGCAUGGCUCUUACGUCUGGGCUACAUACAUGGCCGGGACAUGCGCGGCGACCUCGCGAGGGGGAGCGUCGCAAAAGCCGGUCUCAGUUCGGAUGGCAGUGCAACCCGCCUGCCUGAAGUCGGAGUUGCUAGUAACCGGUGUCAGCAUAGCGCGGUGAAUACGUUCCCGGGGAUUGUACACACCGCCGUCACGUCAUGGGAGCCGCCAACACCUGAAGUCCGUGGGCCGACCUCUUUCGGGAGGAGGUAGCGGCCGAGGUGGGGGGGGUGACUGGGACGAAGUCGUACAAGGU